This is a long non-coding RNA of Cannabis sativa, 2966 nucleotides long. RefSeq lists it as uncharacterized. The transcript has 2 exons. The record is from RefSeq and is a predicted model, not a curated record. NCBI's taxonomy places the organism in Eukaryota, Viridiplantae, Streptophyta, Magnoliopsida, Rosales, Cannabaceae.
CCCAAUCCCGAACAGGAAAACGAAUUCCGACGAUAAAAAUUCAUGGAAUCACUCCCAUUUGAAUCUCCAUGCAUAAAUAAAGAGAUUCAUGUCGGUUUUAGGCAAUUAAAAUACGUAAAAAUUGGACUUUAAUUUUAAUAAAAAUUUCUAGUCCGUAUGAGUUCUUAAAAAAUUAAUUUUCAAAUUUCAAUGAUUUUUCACAUGUUUAGAUCGAUCUAUAAUACUAUAUGAAUAUAGUGAUGUAUAUAGAAUUCGAAAUAAACACCGUAAAAAGAAAAAUGAAAUAAAACAACCAACGGACCAAAAACUCCAAUUUUUUUUUUUAAAUGAAUCUAAAUGCAAAAAUUAAGACAUUCAUAUAGAUUUCAUGCAUCGAAAACACGUAAAACAAAGACUUUAAAAUCACCAAAAAUUUCGGGUCCGAAUUUUUUUUUUUUUUUGAGCUUUCUUUGUUUUUUCAAAAUGAGUUUUCAUGCUUUAGAACAAUCUAUAUUAAUAUAUGAAUGUAUUGAUUCAGAAUGUAUGAUGUAUAUAUAAACAUAUAUACUUAUAUAUAUAUACAGAAAAUAAAAUAAUGUACCGUAUGUAUAUAUAUAUAAUCAUGAAAUGUAUAUAUGUAUAUAUUUAUAUAUAGCAUUUAGGUAUAUAAACAAUAUGAUAUAAUGAAGAUAUGAACAUAUAUAUAUACAAUAUAUAUACCUAAUGAAAUGAAGAAAAUAUCUAUAUAUAUAUGUAUAAACAAUAUGAAUAUAUAUAUAAACUGAAUGUAUAUAUGUAUAUACGUAUGAAAAUGUAUAUAUAUAAUAUGAAUGUAUAUACGAACCCGAAAACGAAUAUAUAAUAUAUAUAUAUAUGAACACCGUAUAUACGUAUAUAUAUAUUAAACUCAAACUAAAUCAAGGCAGAGAUAUAUAAUCCGCUCUGAUACCAACUGUUAGACAUUUAUAUGUAUAAACUGAAAUAUAUAUGUUUAUGUAUAAAAUGCGGAAUUAAAUCAAACAUAUAUACACUAUGAAUAAGGAUCGAAAUACCUCCAGCCAUUGAUUCUUGAGCUUUAGUCCCACAUAAGCUUUGAUCUGCAAAGAAAACUGGUUGAUGUGGGUAAUCGGGCUUCCUCGCUCUCUCAACUCUCUUUAGAUGGAUUUUGCUGUUAUGAACAGAAUGAGUGAGGAGCUCGGGGACCGAGACCCUAUAUUUAUAGGUGAGAUACUCCAUCAGUAUCUGUGCCACAUUAAUUGUCAGAAUAUUUUGACAAUUAAUUCAGGAAAUCAAAUCAGGUAAUGAAUAUAGAAAUCUGACCAUAUAAAGAAUAUUACGUAAUUGAUUCUGUCCAGAUUCAAUGAAUAUAAAAUAUUCAUUUAUCAGAAUCAAUAAUAUUAUUUUAUUUCCUUAAUUAGAAAUAUUCUAAUAUACACUUGGUAUCUUUUUUUGCCAUUUUUUUACAUUUUUAUCUUUAUUCGGUUAUUUAAACAUUUUUCAAAAAAUUAUUUUUCAAUAUUAUAUUUUAAAAAGUUUGAUAAUUACACAAAUACCUAUGCAUGCUUAUGUCAUAGGUUUUCUCCAAUAUUACACUCCAUCUCUUCCACCUUCUUCUCUUUCAUCUCCAAUAUUACACACCAUCUCUUCCACCUUCUUCUCUUUCAUUCAUUUUUUUUAAUUUUUCUUUUAUUUUCUGUUAGUUUUUUUUUUCCAUAACCCACUAUCAUCCCCUGUGAAGCCCUAACCCACGGAUUUCAACCUCCCAUCUAUGCUACGAUCCUAAAAUGGGUUUGAAAGACAUUGCAAAGAAGGGAAUGGGUGAUGCUGCAGAGCCAUCUGGUUCUAAAAAAAGAUUUUUCCAGCUAAGAUUGAAUCUUGUAAGGCAAAGAGAACCAAAUCUUCGAGAUUUGUCAAGGAUGUUCUCUCCGAUUUUGACUUCGAGGAUGAAGUUUCUGAUUUGGAAGUGAAGCCUAAAGUUAAACCCAAGAGUUGUUUACCUUGAAUUUUUUUAUUUUUUUAAGUUGAAAUUUUUAAUCAACCGUUAUUUUUUAUUUUGUUUUUGUUCUCAUUUUAGUUUUUUUAGUUUUUUUUUUUUUUGGUUUUGUUACUGUUAUUAAAUAGUUUUUAGCAUCAUUUAACCAAACUACACUAUUUUUCUUUUUGUCAGUUUGAGUUUUCUUAUUAGUUGUUUUUAAGUUUUAAAUGUAUUUUUUUAGGGAUUAUUGUUGUUUUUGUUCUCAUUUUUUGUACGAAGGUUUUAAGUUUUCAUAACAUUUUUUCCUUAUUUUUAAUUCGUUAUUUGAUUGUUAUUUUAGUGUUCUAUUGGCCUUUUCUAAACAGUUGUUUUAAUGUUUAGUUUUAGUAGUUUUAGUGUUGUUUAAUUUUAUUUCACAGUGAACAAUUUUUUUAGUAAUUUCAUGUUUUGCAGAUUGUUGUUAAUAUAUUUUUUCCCAAUUGUUCAUCUUUUAGGCUAUUUAUGUCUGGGUGUUUUUAAAAUGUUAUUUUGUGGUUGCUUUCUGGUUUUUUUUUUCUGAAAGCUUAGAUGAUGUUUGUUUUUUCAUAUUUUAUUACCUUCAAUUCUUUCUCUGAUUCAAUCAUGGGUGAGUUUCAAUGAUUUCCAGAUCUCCUUCUAUUUGAUUCUUCAUCUCUGAACGCGAUUUGCUUUUUUGACUGAAUGUUGUUUUUGAGUUUUUUUUGUACAACAAUGGAGGUUGGAUGAUUUUUUUUCUUUCUGUUUUUGUAUUUGGAUUUUCAGGAUUUAAGUUGUUUUCCCUUGAGAUCUACAUUUUUUUUAGAUCUGAUUUUCCUGGUUUUGGAAGGAAAAUGGUUGAGAAUGGGUUGUUGGGAUUCGUCCGCUGGGUCACGAAGAAGAUGGAGGCUUCCAUUUUCCUUGGCUGGUAUUUUUGUAAUUUAACAACUUUUAGUUUCUAUUUUUGUUUAUUUCCCUUUUUGGGGUCAUAAAUGUAAACUUGUUCCAUUUUUAGUUU